RNAcentral lists this ribosomal RNA (617 nucleotides) under Saccharomyces cerevisiae (brewer's yeast). RNAcentral's name for it is "eukaryotic LSU rRNA". It matches the Rfam family "Eukaryotic large subunit ribosomal RNA", at positions 37 to 668 of the family's 3401-position model. The record is from RNAcentral. Lineage: Eukaryota; Fungi; Ascomycota; Saccharomycetes; Saccharomycetales; Saccharomycetaceae.
UGCAUAUCAAUAAGCGGAGGAAAAGAAACCAACCGGGAUUGCCUUAGUAACGGCGAGUGAAGCGGCAAAAGCUCAAAUUUGAAAUCUGGUACCUUCGGUGCCCGAGUUGUAAUUUGGAGAGGGCAACUUUGGGGCCGUUCCUUGUCUAUGUUCCUUGGAACAGGACGUCAUAGAGGGUGAGAAUCCCGUGUGGCGAGGAGUGCGGUUCUUUGUAAAGUGCCUUCGAAGAGUCGAGUUGUUUGGGAAUGCAGCUCUAAGUGGGUGGUAAAUUCCAUCUAAAGCUAAAUAUUGGCGAGAGACCGAUAGCGAACAAGUACAGUGAUGGAAAGAUGAAAAGAACUUUGAAAAGAGAGUGAAAAAGUACGUGAAAUUGUUGAAAGGGAAGGGCAUUUGAUCAGACAUGGUGUUUUGUGCCCUCUGCUCCUUGUGGGUAGGGGAAUCUCGCAUUUCACUGGGCCAGCAUCAUUUUUGGUGGCAGGAUAAAUCCAUAGGAAUGUAGCUUGCCUCGGUAAGUAUUAUAGCCUGUGGGAAUACUGCCAGCUGGGACUGAGGACUGCGACGUAAGUCAAGGAUGCUGGCAUAAUGGUUAUAUGCCGCCCGUCUUGAAACACGGACCA